Molecule: long non-coding RNA, 307 nt
Filed under: Elaeis guineensis (African oil palm)
Lineage: Eukaryota; Viridiplantae; Streptophyta; Magnoliopsida; Arecales; Arecaceae
Description: long non-coding RNA (EGUI_LNC066387)
Source: RNAcentral
AGAAGGUAGAUAGAACCAGACCUUGCAGAUCUGUCCUGCUGCAGCCUUUCCUGUAGAUCUGUUGAUGGAGAUCUCACCCGCACCUCAAAUGACCUUAGAUCAACUCCAGAUCUGAGAUAAACUUGUACCAACCUCCUCUCAAGAGAUUUCAGGUCCUAGACCUGAUGUUUGGGUGGUUUCAAGAGAGGGAGAAGAGAGAGAGUCGGCGGCUGCAAGGGGGAAGGGGCUAACGCCUCCUUGCUUUUCCUACCUUUUUGGGACCUGGUGGCAAGAAAUCCUAGGGUUUCUUGCUCCUGGGGCAUGGAGG